GUAAAAAUGCUUAAAGACUAUUUUUCUGAGGUAAGGUAAUUAUGCUGACAUGUUUAAAUUUGAAAAAAAUUGCUUCUUUUUCACAAAGCAAAGCAUGAAAACAUUCUGAGUGAAGCACGGGUCACGGCUGUGACCUGUCUGAAUCUGUCUUUGUCUCUCUGCACACUGUUGUCUGUAUGGCCAAGUACACCAAAGGGCGAAUGACACCUGGAUGUCUGGUUGUAAUAGUUUCUUUUUCUUAUAGUUACAAAUAACAGGAGCUGGUCUCUGUGGUUAAAUGAACGUUUCUCUCUUAAUUUCCUCCAUGAACCUGCCUAGGGGGCUCUUUUGAAUGCUUAAAUGACUUUACCAAAGUCUCGUUUUGACUAUCACUUAACACCAUUUUGGAAUUCUGUCUGAAGAAGUGUCUAGUCAUUUCCGAACAUCUCCUCUUGACUAUUCUUAAAGGCCUUUGUUCCCUUUCAUUCUGUUUCAUUUUAUCUCACUUUUUAGCCUCCUUCUCAGAUACCACUUGCAGCCUUUUUCCCUUGUGGAAGGACCCGUACUAGCUCCUGUCUGUAGUCUGUUGGGGCUCCUUAGGGCAGUGCUAAAGCCUUGUCAGCUGGUUGCUUCCAGAACGAAGUAACUUUUUAUUUAUUCUCAGGGAUUUUCUGUUUCAGAAAACCAAAUCUUUAUGCUCUGUCCCAAGUGUAGCAGCCAAGAUUCAAUCCUUGAGCCUUUGUUGCUAUUGCUGACCCUCGUUACUUUUCAAGGCUGUGCUGUGUGUGGUGUUCUUCACGUAGUCCUUUUAUGGUGCAUAUUGACCUGACAACUCCUAAGGACUGAAAGGCUGCGAAAAAGCUCUUCUUGGAAUGGCCUGUGCCAAGACAAAAGAAUGCCAAUACUUGAUAUUAAGUUACAUAUCCUUCAGUAACAUUGAAUCUUUUUUUUUGUACUGGGAUGGAACUCAGGAUCUUUCGCUCACUGAGCUAAAUCUCUGGCAGUAACAUUGAAUUUUGUUAGUUACUAAGUACACCUGAUAUUCCUCACAUUACAAUGUUUCUAUUAAGUACAAAGCAACAGUUUUUUUUUUUUAAAUCCCUGAAUAUCAUUGCGCUAGAAAUUUUUUAGAUAUAAGGGUAAAUACGAAUUUGGGUUCUUCUCAUUUUUCCUUCUUCUUUCCCCAGUAAGCUGUGCAAGGUUCUUGACCAACUGAAUGUGGUUGCCCAAAAUAUAGUGAAGAAAACAGGUGUCUCUGUAAACUUCCCUAAUUCUCACCGUAGCAUUGUACAGCCAGAUGAAAAGUAUGCAUGACAUUUAAAAAUUUAAAUCAAGAUUUUUCUUCUUACGGACAAAACUAUUCUAAUUAUGAACAGUUUGUGCCAGUUGGAAGAUGUAUGGAUUUAGUCCUUUGAGGACUGUGGCCCUGGGAGUAUUUCUGGUGGUUUUAUACAUUGAGAAAGAAGUGAAGGGGUCUUACCUCUUGCUUUUUAGAAUAAACAUUAUAUAAAGUAUCUCCAUGAAGUAAAAUCUUCAGGAUUUAAGGAAACCAGGCAUAAAUUCCUGAGUCUCUCUCCCAAGAAGUCACACCAACUCUCGUCCCCCACAGCAAAUUGUGACAGCAGGUGUACCGUGUUACCAGCCAGGGAAGCUUCUUAGAGACUCAGGGUAUUUUAUUAUUUAUUUAUUAUUAAUUAAUUUAUUUAUUUAUUGCUUUUUUUUUUUGAUAGGGUCUCACUAUGCAGUUGAGACUGACCUGAAACUCACUAUAUAGCCCAGGCUGGUCUGCAACUCACAGCGAUCCAGAUGCCCACCUUUUUAAGGAUAGCUAACACCUAUUGUGUUAGCUCGGACCUGCCUAGCACCUUCUUUUAAAUAACUCAAAUAAAAUGUUGGUGUCAUAACAUAGUAUUUCAUAACAACAGAUUCCCAAGCAUUCACUAGCAUAUGGAGGAAAUCGUUUCUGAAUGGAACAGUGCAAAAACAGCCACGGGAAUGUAACAAAGCCUUCCUGAGGAAAAGCUGCAGGAGGUAGAGAAUUCUUGUGCUGAGUAGAGAUGACUAAGGCCUGAGAGAUUUAUUCGGUGAAUUCCCUGCAGUUAGCAUAUCUAUAGAGACCUAGCAGGACAUGGGCUUAAGUGCAAGGAAAGGAGGUUUUGGCUGAAUGUGAGUGACAAGGUACCAGAGUAGAGGUCCCUGCGAUCCUUGAGAAGAACGUGGUGACCAGCUCAUCUCAGUAAUUUGUCUAUUCACUUAUCCAAAAGAAUGAGAGCAGGUGGAAUUAGCUGAUUUUUUUCAGGUGACUUCAGCUCUACCACUUUGAUUCUAUAGAUUUAAAAUAAAGAGCUAGUACCAAAAAUAAAUAUAUAUUGUGCUGUUAAAAUUAUUUUUGAAAAAGCAUAAGGCUGGGAGUGUAGCUCAGUAGUACAGCACAUGCUUGCUUUGCUCAAUGCCCUGGGCUCAGUCAUCAGCAGUGGAACAAAUUUUCCUUUAAAAUAUUUAUUUUUAAACCCCAAAGGAGUGAACCAGGAGGAUUUGUGAUUCCUACCUGUUGCCUGCAGGUAUAGCUAUUUGUAUAUUUAUAAUGAAUAAAACUUGUAUCCAUAGUUUGUGCUUUCUGCAAGCAACUGUGCGAAAAGAAACAUUAUUUAGUGUAAAAUUAUGAAUCACUUGAGACUUAUUUUUAAAAGCUCUUCUUCUGUUAUUUAAGUCUUAUGGAAGGGUGUAUAGCCCAAGUUAUAUGGCCUAUGAAUUUUUCUGUAGUUUCAUUAUUGGAAACUUAAUAGAAACACAAAUAGGAAUGCGAAAAGAAUAAAUUAGAGUGACUGUAUUAGUUACUUUUCUGUUUUUGUUUUUUGAGACAGGGUCUCACUAUGUAGUUGAGACUGACUUGGAACUCGCUAUGUAGCCCAGGCUGGUCUCAAACUCACAGAGAUCUUCCUGCCUCAGCCUCCUGAGUGCUGGGAUUACAGGCGUGUGCCACCACGCCCGGCCACUUAGUUACUUUUCUUGUUGGUGAGAACAAAAAUACCUAACAUCCAGAGUUAAAAGGGGGGAAAGGUUUAUUUGGCUUCCAGUUCAUAAAGGUUUUAGUCCAUAAUCAGCUGGCUGCAAGGCUAUAUACAGUCCAUGGCAGACAGACAGUAGCAAAGCAAAGAGACCUUAACAGCAGCUCCCUGCCCCUUGUAUUUUAUCCAGACUACUUAGGGCAGUAGCACUCACACCCUAAUCCUAGUGCUCUCAUGCCUAGCAUUGCCUCACGAAUCACAUACUUUACAUUCAGCCACCUUCAAAAUAGCCCUACCUGAUUUGCAUAGCUGAUUAUGGGCAUUCCAAGGAGCUUUGGAGGGACAUCUAAACAUGAGCCAUGGCAGUGACUUUGGAAAACAGACGCUAUAUUUGCUUAUGUUAAUAUUUGCUAGUGUUGCUUUAAGAAUGAUGUGACUGGGGAGACGAGAGGGAGGAAGGCAAAGAGUAAGUAAAAAAGAUCCAGAUGCAAUAUGUAUAUGUACCAACUCCCCACAAUGAAUGUACUUACUGUGUAUCACAAACAUACAUUAAUAAAAAAUAAAAAGGAAUAUGCUGUGUAGUUUACACAUACUUGUGAAUGUUCUAGUUUUCCUCUUAUUAUUUUAGUUUCCAUUGUGUUUAUAAAGAUAUUUUGUGUGACUUCAGUUUUUUCAAACAUACUGUUUUAUUCUAUAACCGGACAUAUGGUUCACCCUAGACUCUUGUACGUGGACUUGGGAAGAUGAAUAUUCUAUUGUAUUGUGUUUAGUUGUCUAAGGUCCAGUUGGUCUAUGGGGUUAUUCAAGUUCUGUAUUUCUCUGUUGAUUUUCUGUCUGUUCUAUCCAGAAAGGAGAAUGGAGUAUUAAACUAUUCUACUGUUACCACAGGAUUAUCUUUAAGAAGAUAGAGCCAUGGGCUCCGCACUCAAAAGACAUCAUGGAGACUCUGUCUAGUUAUAACAGCAGUGACUUUUGCAUGUAAUUUUGGAAUAACAGUUAUUUCUAACACCCAGUGGUGCAUUUUUCUUCUUUUAUUUACGUAACUUUUCAAGCUACUGGUUAAAGUUAGAAAGUGCUCAAUAGGGGGGAAAAAAGAACCAAGAUAUAUUAUGUAAAGGUACAAAUUUCCAAUGAUGAAUGUAUCAUAUUGUAUACCUAAAAUGUACCAAUAAACAAUGAAUAAAAAAAUUUGUUCAAUAAAUGAAUAGAUAAACACUUUAUAUUUUAAAUAAGGCACGUUAAAAUUUAUGGUACCCAUAGUUGGAGCUUUUAUACAAUGCAAC
This 4270-nucleotide long non-coding RNA is filed under the name Fukomys damarensis (Damara mole-rat). Its description in RNAcentral is "lncRNA (ENSFDAG00000024843.1)". The record is from RNAcentral. Lineage: Eukaryota; Metazoa; Chordata; Mammalia; Rodentia; Bathyergidae.